UUAAUCGAAACCAAAAAGAGGUAAAUUAUUGUUAAUAAUUUAAUUGAUAAAAUCCGAUUAAA
RNAcentral lists this transfer RNA (62 nucleotides) under Andrena chekiangensis. Its description in RNAcentral is "tRNA-Asn". Lineage: Eukaryota; Metazoa; Arthropoda; Insecta; Hymenoptera; Andrenidae. The record is from RNAcentral.